RNAcentral lists this ribosomal RNA (517 nucleotides) under uncultured fungus. Its description in RNAcentral is "SSU rRNA". It matches the Rfam family "Eukaryotic small subunit ribosomal RNA", at positions 209 to 726 of the family's 1831-position model. The record is from RNAcentral. Lineage: Eukaryota; Fungi.
AUUAGAUUAAAAACCAAUGCCCUUCGGGGCUCUCUGGUGAUUCAUGAUAACUUCUCGAAUCGCAUGGCCUUGCGCCGGCGAUGGUUCAUUCAAAUUUCUUCCCUAUCAACUUUCGAUGUUUGGGUAUUGGCCAAACAUGGUUGCAACGGGUAACGGAGGGUUAGGGCUCGACCCCGGAGAAGGAGCCUGAGAAACGGCUACUACAUCCAAGGAAGGCAGCAGGCGCGCAAAUUACCCAAUCCCGACUCGGGGAGGUAGUGACAAUAAAUACUGAUACAGGGUUCUUUCGGAUCUUGUAAUUGGAAUGAGUACAAUUUAAAUCCCUUAACGAGGAACAAUUGGAGGGCAAGUCUGGUGCCAGCAGCCGCGGUAAUUCCAGCUCCAAUAGCGUAUAUUAAGGUUGUUGUGGUUAAAAAGCUCGUAGUUGAACCUUGGGCCUGGCUGGCCGGUCCGCCUCACCGCGUGUACUGGUCCGGCCGGGCCUUUCCCUCUGUGGAACCCUAUGCCCUUCACUGGG